CUGGAGGUAUCAGAAGUGCGAAUGCUGACAUAAGUAACGAUAAAGCGGGUGAAAAGCCCGCUCGCCGGAAGACCAAGGGUUCCUGUCCAACGUUAAUCGGGGCAGGGUGAGUCGACCCCUAAGGCGAGGCCGAAAGGCGUAGUCGAUGGGAAACGGGUUAAUAUUCCCGUACUUGGUGUUACUGCGAAGGGGGGACGGAGAAGGCUAUGUUGGCCGGGCGACGGUUGUCCCGGUUUAAGCGUGUAGGUGUGUGUUCCAGGUAAAUCCGGUUCACUUUAACACUGAGGCGUGAUGACGAGGCACUACGGUGCUGAAGCAACAAAUGCCCUGCUUCCAGGAAAAGCCUCUAAGCAUCAGGUAACAUCAAAUCGUACCCCAAACCGACACAGGUGGUCAGGUAGAGAAUACCAAGGCGCUUGAGAGAACUCGGGUGAAGGAACUAGGCAAAAUGGUGCCGUAACUUCGGGAGAAGGCACGCUGACACGUAGGUGAAGUGAUUUACUCAUGGAGCUGAAGUCAGUCGAAGAUACCAGCUGGCUGCAACUGUUUAUUAAAAACACAGCACUGUGCAAACACGAAAGUGGACGUAUACGGUGUGACGCCUGCCCGGUGCCGGAA
Molecule: ribosomal RNA, 618 nt
Filed under: Salmonella enterica
Lineage: Bacteria; Pseudomonadati; Pseudomonadota; Gammaproteobacteria; Enterobacterales; Enterobacteriaceae
Description: partial 23S ribosomal RNA
Rfam family: Bacterial large subunit ribosomal RNA
Source: RNAcentral